AACGAACGUUGGCGGCGUGGAUUAGGCAUGCAAGUCGAACGAGAAAGCCACCUUCGGUGGUUAGUAAAGUGGCGAACGGGUGAGUAACGCGUGGGAAAUCUGCCCUACAGUUGGGGAUAACACUCCUAACGGAGUGCUAAUACCGAAUGAGACCACGAGAUCGCAUGGUCUUGAGGUUGAAGGUGGCCUCUCCUUGGAAGCUACCGCUGCAGGAGGAUCCCGCGUCCCAUUAGCUUGUUGGCAGGGUAACGGCCUACCAAGGCUUCGAUGGGUAGCUGGUCUGAGAGGAUGGUCAGCCACACUGGGACUGAGAUACGGCCCAGACUCCUACGGGAGGCAGCAGUCGAGAGGCUUCGGCAAUGGGGGAAACCCUGACCGAGCGACGCCGCGUGGGCGAUGAAGGUUGUAAGAUCGUAAAGCCCUGUCAGGAGGGAAGAACUGCCAAUGGGCAAACAGGCCAUUGGUUUGACGGUACCUCCUUAGCAAGC
This 488-nucleotide ribosomal RNA is filed under the name uncultured bacterium. RNAcentral describes it as "bacterial SSU rRNA". It matches the Rfam family "Bacterial small subunit ribosomal RNA", at positions 29 to 491 of the family's 1533-position model. The record is from RNAcentral.